CGGGAGCCCCCACCCAGGCGCAUGGCUCCAUGAAGCAAGAGGAGGAGGCAGAGCGCGAGAGGUCCCGUCCGCCCCAGCCGCGUCUGGGCCAGGAUAAAAGCAAAACCAUAUUCCUGCUGCUGUCAGUUAUGAUGCACUGAGAAAACUUCAGAGACCUAAACUUUUUCCAGAGAAGAGAAGCUUUACUGGUGUUCCAGCCCUAAGCAACCAUCUUUCCUGUGAAAAAUUCCCUCUCGUACUUUAGUUCUGUGGAUCCAAAAUUUAUAGCAUUCUUCUACCACCACAGGGGCUCAUAUGACAUUAACAGACAAGACACUUUUCAGAAAGACAGGCAACGUGUUGGACCUUCCGGAGCUUCUCAGAAGACAGAGGGUUUUCUUUUGAGGUAAAUUUGAUAGUACAUUUUGAUAGUACGGGAGGCGAUACGGCAUGGUGACAGAAAAGCGCCGGCUUGGUUAGCAGGACCACCUGGCAGGGCUGCAGGCUGUGCCACUUACCAGGCAGGGGACCUUGGGCCAGCUGCUUGGCCUCACUCACCCUGUUUCUCAGCUGCAAUUGGGAUGAACAGACUGCCUGCUUCGGGGUUGCCUAAAACUCACAUUGGUUAAUGAUGUGAAAUGCUUAGCGCAGUGCCUGGCAUAGAGAGAAUUCUCAUUAGAUGAUACCUCAGCUGGGCUUUAGGAGCUACAGAAGAAGCUGCAUCUCCAUGAGCUCAGCGUGUUUCUAGCUUUCCUUUUUGUUUUCUAUUCAACCUUUCACCCAACUCAGCUUCUCAAUCCCUAAAUGACAAAGGUUUGGGAAGGAAGACUUGGACCGAGGCUUGCAUUUGUUUCUGAGAAUUAAACGUUAUGUUUUCUUCAAUCUAAA
RNAcentral lists this long non-coding RNA (867 nucleotides) under Homo sapiens (human). RNAcentral's name for it is "HSALNT0358755". The record is from RNAcentral. Lineage: Eukaryota; Metazoa; Chordata; Mammalia; Primates; Hominidae.